Molecule: small nucleolar RNA, 117 nt
Filed under: Echinops telfairi (small Madagascar hedgehog)
Lineage: Eukaryota; Metazoa; Chordata; Mammalia; Afrosoricida; Tenrecidae
Description: Small nucleolar RNA SNORA61 (ENSETEG00000024128.1)
Source: RNAcentral
ACCCCACCGUUUCCUCUCCCAUCAGAUCUAAACAUUGCUCUGAGUGGUUACAAAAGGAGGUCAAGUAACAUGGAAACUUCAAUACUCUUGAAACACAUGGGCCGGUUUAAAACAGGU